UACGUAGGGGGCAAGCGUUGUCCGGAUUUAUUGGGCGUAAAGAGCGUGUAGGCGGCUUGGUAGGUCCGCUGUGAAAACUCGAGGCUCAACCUCGAGAUGUCGGCGGAAACCACUUGGCUAGAGUCCGGAAGAGGAGAGUGGAAUUCCCGGUGUAGCGGUGAAAUGCGCAGAUAUCGGGAAGAACACCUAUGGCGAAGGCAGCUCUCUGGGACGGUACUGGACGGCUGAGACGCG
This 234-nucleotide ribosomal RNA is filed under the name uncultured bacterium. Its description in RNAcentral is "partial 16S ribosomal RNA". It matches the Rfam family "Bacterial small subunit ribosomal RNA", at positions 524 to 755 of the family's 1533-position model. The record is from RNAcentral.